GUUUAAUUGAUCUUAAAAACCUAUUAUCAAUUUGGCGCCAUUGCCAAUUGGGUGUUUGUUUGUUACAUUUGAGAUUUCAGACUUGCUUAGAUCAAGUUCUUUUUCAAUUUUCUUUUCGGUUACUAACUGUUGGUUUUUCUUGUUGUCGUCUUGAUCCAGGUACACCUCUGCUGUAUGCAAACUCGAUCAACAGGCAAUCAGAACCUCUUUUUCAAUGACAACAUCGACCGCAUCGCUCGCGAACUCAGAGAAAGGAGAAACACAUUCAACCCUGUACCUCAGCAACCACUCGAUAUGGCUGACGAACAGAAUCAACAAAAUGGCCCUGCCAACAUUGGCGCUGGAGAUGCACCACGUGAUCACCGUCUGAGGAAAGGAAUUGCACCUCCUGUUAUCUAGAACAACAACUUCGAGAUUAAGAGUGGUCUCAUCUCGAUGAUUCAGGGGAACAAAUUCCAUGGUCUGCCAAUGGAGGAUCCACUCGACCACCUUGAUGAAUUCGAUAGGCUCUGCAACCUAUCAAAGAUCAAUGGUGUCAGUGAAGACGGAUACAAGCUUCAUUUGUUCCCAUUCUCCUUGGGCGACAAAGCACACAUCUGGGAGAAGAAUCUGCCCCAUGACUCAAUCACCACAUGGGAUGAUUGCAAGAAGGCUUUUCUAUCAAAGUUCUUCUCCAAUACUAGAACUGCAAGACUCAGAAAUGAGAUUUCUUGUUUCUCACAGAAGAAUGGUGAAAGCUUCUGUGAAGCAUGGGAGCGUUUCAAGGGUUACACCAACCAAUGCCCUCAUCAUGGCUUUACUAAAGCCUCUCUGCUCAGCACUCUUUACAGAGAAGUCCACCCACGCAUCAGAAUGCUUCUGGAUACCGCCAACAAUGGGAAUUUCCAGAACAAGAAUGUUGAAGAAGGCUGAGAAUUGGUUGAGAACCUUGCUCAAUCAGAUGGCAAUUACAACGAGGACUGUGAUAGGACCGUCAGAGGAACAACUGACUCUGAUGACAAACACAGGAAGGAGAUCAAAGCGCUGAAUGACAAGCUGGACAGGAUUCUUCUUAGCCAGCAGAAGCAUGUGCACUUCCUUGUUGAUGACGAGCAGUUUCAAGUCCAAGAUGGGGAGGGUAACCAGUUGGAAGUAGUCAGCUACAUCAACAACAACCAGGGUGGCUACAAAGGAUACAACAACUUCAAAACCAACAACCCCAACCUCUCCUACCGCAGCACCAACGUUGCUAAUCCUCAGGAUCAAGUGUAUCCUCCACAGCAACAACAAGGUCAGAACAAACCUUUUGUUCCCUACAACCAAGGUUUCGUUCCUAAGCAGCAAUUUCAGGGGAACUACCAGCCGCCACCACCACCUGGGUUUGCAUAUCAGCUAAACCAAGGUCCUGCUGCUCCUGAGGCUGAUAUGAAACAAAUGAUACAACAGCUGCUUCACGGACAAGCCUCUGGCUCCAUGGAGAUGGCAAAAAAGAUAUCUGAGUUACAUAACAAGCUAGACUGUAGCUACAAUGAUCUCAAUGUCAAGAUGGAAACACUGAAUACCAAAGUCCGAUACUUAGAGGGACAUUCUGCAUCUUCUUCAGCUCCAAAACAGACAAGCCAACUACCAGGCAAAGCAGUUCAGAAUCCAAAAGAAUAUGCUCAUGCUAUCACACUGCGUAGUGGAAAAGCACUUCCAACUAGGGAGGAACCAAAGACGGUCACUGAGGACAGUGAAGAUCAAGAUGGGGAGGAUUUAAGUCUCGAGAAAGAUCAAGCUGACAAACCACUCGAGCAAUCACUCGACCAGUCACUCGAGCAACCACUCGACCUAUCACUCGAGCAACCACUCGAUCUGCCACUCGACAACGUUACUCGACCAACAACUCGACCUAUCUUCCCAGCAGCAUCACCAACUGCUCCAAAACCAGUUGCUGUCAAAAACAAAGAAAAAGUCUUUAUCCCUCCUCCCUACAAACCGCAGCUUUCAUUUCCUGGCCGUCACAAGAAAGCGUUGGCAGAUAAAUAUAGAGCUAUGUUUGCCAAGAAUAUUAAGGAGGUUGAGUUGCGAAUACCUCUUGUUGACGCUCUAGCGCUAAUCCCAGACUCUCACAAGUUUCUGAAAGACUUGAUCGUGGAGAGAAUUCAAGAAGUGUAAGGGAUGGUGGUAUUGAGUCAUGAAUGCAGUGCUAUCAUACAGAAGAAGAUCAUUCCUAAGAAGCUUAGUGAUCCUGGUUCAUUCACUCUACCAUGCUCUUUAGGUCCAUUGGCUUUCAAUAAAUGCCUAUGCGAUUUAGGAGCAUCAGUCAGUCUCAUGCCGGUCUCUGUCACCAAAAGAUUGGGGUACACUCAAUACAAGUCCUGCAAUAUAUCCCGCAUCCUAGCUGACAGAUCAGUAAGGAUCCCUCAUGGUUUGCUCGAAAACCUCCCAAUCAGGAUCGGUGCUGUGGAGAUACCAACUGGCUUUGUAGUCCUGGAGAUGGAUGAAGAGCCCAAGGACCCUUUGAUUCUAGGGAGACCUUUCUUUCAAGAAAGGGAAGAUUGAUCUAAACCUUGGCAAAGACUUUAGGAUAACCUUUGAUGUCAAAGACGCGAUGAAGAAGCCAACCAUAGAAGGGCAACUCUUUUGGAUCGAAGAAAUGGAUCAGUUAGCCGAUGAAUUACUGGAAGAGCUGGCAGAAGAAGAUCAUCUUAACAGUGCUUUAACCAAAAGUGAUGAAGACGGGUUUCUACAUUUGGAAACAUUGGGAUACCAGAAGCUGUUAGACUCCCAUAAAGCGAUGGAAGAAUCAGAACCCUUUGAGGAAUUGAAUGGACCAGCAACGAAGGUAAUGGUAAUGAGCGAAGAAGGGUCAACUCGAGUUCAACCUGCACUCUCGAGGAUGUACUCGACCAGCCACUCGACCUUGUCUGCCAACGAAUCUGGGGAGCCGAUCAUUCCAACUUCAGAUGACUGGUCUGAACUUAAGGCACUGAAGGUUGAUCUCAAACCACUUCCUAAAGGUCUAAGGUACGCAUUCCUUGGUCCAAACUCUACUUACCCUGUGAUCAUUAAUGCUGAGUUAAAUAGUGAUGAAGUGAACCUGCUAUUAUCUGAGCUUAGAAAGUAUAGGAGAGCGAUUGGUUAUUCAUUAUCCGACAUUAAGGGAAUUUUACCUAGUCUAUGCAACCAUAGGAUCCAUCUUGAAAACGAAUCCUAUUCUAGCAUUGAACCACAGAGGAGGUUAAAUCCCAAUUUGAAAGAAGUAGUGAAAAAAGAAAUUUUGAAACUGCUUGAUGCUGGUGUCAUCUACCCUAUCUCUGAUAGUACAUGGGUUUCUCUAGUGCAUUGCGUCCCUAAAAAGGGUGGAAUGACUGUUGUCAAAAAUGAAAAGGAUGAACUGAUCCCUACUAGAACUAUAACUGGUCAUAGAAUGUGCAUUGAUUAUAGGAAGUUGAAUGCUGCAUCUAGGAAAGAUCAUUUUUCUUUACCAUUCAUUGACCAAAUGCUUGAACGUUUAGCUAAUCAUCCAUACUAUUGCUUUCUUGAUGGAUACAGUGGUUUCUUUCAAAUACCAAUUCACCUUAAUGAUCAAGAAAAAACCACUUUCACAUGUCCUGAUGGAACUUUUGCUUAUAAGAGAAUGUCAUUUGGUUUAUGCAAUGCUCCUGCAACAUUUCAGAGGUGUAUGACCUCUAUAUUUUCAGACUUAAUCGAGGAGAUGGUGGAGGUUUUCGUGGAUGAUUUUUCGGUCUAUGGCCCCUCUUUCUCCUCAUGUUUGUUGAAUCUUGGCAGGGUAUUGACCAGGUGCGAAGAGACUAAUCUUGUUCUCAAUUGGGAAAAGUGUCAUUUCAUGGUGAAGGAAGGCAUAGUGUUGGGUCACAAGAUAUCAGAGAAGGGUAUAGAGGUUAACAAAGGAAAAGUUGAAGUGAUGAUGCAGUUGCAGCCACCAAAAACGGUGAAGGACAUCAUAAGUUUCCUUGGUCAUGCUGGGUUCUACAGAAGAUUUAUUAAAGACUUCUCCAAGAUAGCCAGGCCGUUAACCAGGCUAUUGUGCAAG
This 4018-nucleotide small RNA is filed under the name Arabidopsis thaliana (thale cress). Its description in RNAcentral is "ATSL203260". The record is from RNAcentral. Lineage: Eukaryota; Viridiplantae; Streptophyta; Magnoliopsida; Brassicales; Brassicaceae.